RNAcentral lists this ribosomal RNA (273 nucleotides) under uncultured bacterium. Its description in RNAcentral is "partial 16S ribosomal RNA". It matches the Rfam family "Bacterial small subunit ribosomal RNA", at positions 85 to 354 of the family's 1533-position model. The record is from RNAcentral.
CCGCCGGCGACCGGCGCACGGGUGAGUAACACGUAUGCAACCUGGCCGUGACAGAUGGAUAACCGGGAGAAAUCCCGCCUAAUACAACAUAAUGCCGGGAGGGGACAUCCCCUGCCGGCCAAAGGGGGCGACCCCGGUCACGGAUGGGCAUGCGGCGCAUUAGGUAGUUGGUAGGGUAACGGCCUACCAAGCCGACGAUGCGUAGGGGUUCUGAGAGGAAGGUCCCCCACAUUGGUACUGAGACACGGACCAGACUCCUACGGAAGGCAGCAG